GGCUCCGUAGUGAAGUUCAUGUUGAGUUGCAAGCUCAUCGAUGCGUGUAUGUACGCCGGGGCCU
This 64-nucleotide transfer RNA is filed under the name Dendrocygna javanica (lesser whistling duck). RNAcentral's name for it is "tRNA-Cys". Lineage: Eukaryota; Metazoa; Chordata; Aves; Anseriformes; Anatidae. The record is from RNAcentral.